RNAcentral lists this ribosomal RNA (578 nucleotides) under Salmonella enterica. Its description in RNAcentral is "partial 23S ribosomal RNA". It matches the Rfam family "Bacterial large subunit ribosomal RNA", at positions 711 to 1286 of the family's 2925-position model. Lineage: Bacteria; Pseudomonadati; Pseudomonadota; Gammaproteobacteria; Enterobacterales; Enterobacteriaceae. RNAcentral also lists the same sequence under 1 other name. The record is from RNAcentral.
AGACCCGAAACCCGGUGAUCUAGCCAUGGGCAGGUUGAAGGUUGGGUAACACUAACUGGAGGACCGAACCGACUAAUGUUGAAAAAUUAGCGGAUGACCUGUGGCUGGGGGUGAAAGGCCAAUCAAACCGGGAGAUAGCUGGUUCUCCCCGAAAGCUAUUUAGGUAGCGCCUCGUGAAUUCAUCUCCGGGGGUAGAGCACUGUUUCGGCUAGGGGGCCAUCCCGGCUUACCAACCCGAUGCAAACUGCGAAUACCGGAGAAUGUUAUCACGGGAGACACACGGCGGGUGCUAACGUCCGUCGUGAAGAGGGAAACAACCCAGACCGCCAGCUAAGGUCCCAAAGUCAUGGUUAAGUGGGAAACGAUGUGGGAAGGCCCAGACAGCCAGGAUGUUGGCUUAGAAGCAGCCAUCAUUUAAAGAAAGCGUAAUAGCUCACUGGUCGAGUCGGCCUGCGCGGAAGAUGUAACGGGGCUAAACCAUGCACCGAAGCUGCGGCAGCGACACUGUGUGUUGUUGGGUAGGGGAGCGUUCUGUAAGCCUGUGAAGGUGUGUCGUGAGGCAUGCUGGAGGUAUCAGA